Peromyscus eremicus (cactus mouse) is the source of this 691-nucleotide long non-coding RNA. RefSeq lists it as uncharacterized. The record is from RefSeq and is a predicted model, not a curated record. The transcript is spliced from 3 exons. Lineage: Eukaryota; Metazoa; Chordata; Mammalia; Rodentia; Cricetidae.
AAAAACAAACACAGCAACAAUUUUCUUGAACAGCUCAUUCAUAUUCUAAGUACAAUUUCUGAUCCAAUCUCCCAGAUUAGGUAAUAUUUUCUCUAUGUGACUGUCCCCACACAAGAUGCACCACCAUGCAUGACAAAUGCAUUUCUUCAAGCAGAACUGCAAUACAGGUCUACCUCAAGGGGUCUGUCUGUUCCUUCCUCAAUGGUGUCGACAGGAUCUUGUUAAGUUGCCCAGGCUGAUGCUCAUGAACUUCCAAUCUUUUCUUCAAACGUCAGAGUACCUGAAAUCACAGGUGUGCACCACCACAUCCAGCCAGCCAGUGUUACUGCAUUUAACUUUUGAUGGAUUCUGACUGAUUUAGGAUAACCCAAUGUGAAGGACUCAACAAUUUUAUGACUAUCAACUGUGUACUAUCAACUCUGUAAAAAGAAUAAUGCUGACAUGCUAUGACACAGAAUUGGAAUGUGGGCAGUAGUCACACUGGCCAGCAGCAACACACUCUGUGCUUUGUGGAUAAACAGAAGAUAUAUUAAAAGCAAGAAAACGCAGUAACAAGUGAUAUGUCAACCAACUUCGAGAAGAUACAUCCAGAAAUCAUCUAGUAGUUUUUAUCUGUACUACAGGAAAUCAUGACUACUCACACAGACUAAAGUUAAAUAAUGUUUAAAUAAAACACAUCUUAUGAAUUGCA